UCCCUAGUGGUCUAGUGGUUAAGACUCUGUCCUUCCAAUGCAGAGGACACAGGUUCAAUCCCUGUUGGGGAA
This 72-nucleotide transfer RNA is filed under the name Muntiacus reevesi (Reeves' muntjac). It matches the Rfam family "tRNA". Rfam says of the family: Transfer RNA (tRNA) molecules are approximately 80 nucleotides in length. Their secondary structure includes four short double-helical elements and three loops (D, anti-codon, and T loops). Lineage: Eukaryota; Metazoa; Chordata; Mammalia; Artiodactyla; Cervidae. The record is from Rfam by way of RNAcentral. RNAcentral also lists the same sequence under 6 other names.